This 464-nucleotide ribosomal RNA is filed under the name Vreelandella stevensii. Its description in RNAcentral is "partial 16S ribosomal RNA". It matches the Rfam family "Bacterial small subunit ribosomal RNA", at positions 338 to 795 of the family's 1533-position model. The record is from RNAcentral. Lineage: Bacteria; Pseudomonadati; Pseudomonadota; Gammaproteobacteria; Oceanospirillales; Halomonadaceae.
CCUACGGGGGCUGCAGUGGGGAAUAUUGGACAAUGGGCGAAAGCCUGAUCCAGCCAUGCCGCGUGUGUGAAGAAGGCCUUCGGGUUGUAAAGCACUUUCAGUGGGGAAGAAAGCCUUGGGGCUAAUACCCUCGAGGAAGGACAUCACCCACAGAAGAAGCCCCGGCUAACUCCGUGCCAGCAGCCGCGGUAAUACGGAGGGUGCGAGCGUUAAUCGGAAUUACUGGGCGUAAAGCGCGCGUAGGCGGUCUGAUAAGCCGGUUGUGAAAGCCCCGGGCUCAACCUGGGAACGGCAUCCGGAACUGUCAGGCUAGAGUGCAGGAGAGGAAGGUAGAAUUCCCGGUGUAGCGGUGAAAUGCGUAGAGAUCGGGAGGAAUACCAGUGGCGAAGGCGGCCUUCUGGACUGACACUGACGCUGAGGUGCGAAAGCGUGGGUAGCAAACAGGAUUAGAUACCCCAGUAGUC